AGCUUUGCGCAGUGGCAGUAUUGUAGCCAAUGAGGUUUAUCCGAGGCGCGAUUAUUGCUUAUUGAAAACUGUCCUUAUUAUAUCGAACCUAAGUCUGUAUCUGUUAAUCUUAAAUUAGAUUAUUAGACUUCUACCUCUAAA
This is a small nuclear RNA of Lontra canadensis (Northern American river otter), 141 nucleotides long. RefSeq annotates it as U4 spliceosomal RNA. The record is from RefSeq and is a predicted model, not a curated record. Lineage: Eukaryota; Metazoa; Chordata; Mammalia; Carnivora; Mustelidae. The transcript has a single exon.